GGACACAUACAAUCUGCAUGUUCUGAAGCGUGAUGUCGUGACAUCCUGUACGACAUCUGUCCCCAGUAUCAGAAUUUCACUUAGAAAUCAAAGGCUCCCAAACAACCCUGCUUGAAGAUUUAAUUCCAAUAGGCAUACCCAGAUAAUGGAAAGGAAUGUCCAUUUGUCUACAAUUCAGAAAUUGGGUUGCUUCCUGAAUCCAAUUGGCCUGAACCCCAA
RNAcentral lists this long non-coding RNA (219 nucleotides) under Glycine max (soybean). RNAcentral's name for it is "long non-coding RNA (GMAX_LNC000408)". Lineage: Eukaryota; Viridiplantae; Streptophyta; Magnoliopsida; Fabales; Fabaceae. The record is from RNAcentral.